RNAcentral lists this ribosomal RNA (414 nucleotides) under Triticum aestivum (bread wheat). RNAcentral describes it as "partial small subunit ribosomal RNA". Lineage: Eukaryota; Viridiplantae; Streptophyta; Magnoliopsida; Poales; Poaceae. The record is from RNAcentral.
AUGGACUGCUGGUCAAUGUAUCUUAUGGAUAAGGACACAAAGGUGAUGAUGGUGCUUGACCCAACCGAGACAGAUGAGAUGGACGAGAUGCAGAUGAAACAUGAGGACCACGCUAAGAAGUUCCAGCUUAGGUUCUGCUCUCUGAUGAACAACUACUUCGGCAAUGGGAUUGUUGAUCCCAAUGGAUGGAAAAUUGUACAUCCGCUGGUGGUGCAACAUGAGCCGUGCAGCAGGGAGGACAGUGGAAUUUACAUAACACACUACUUCACCAACUUCACUGGGUUGUACCUCCGAUCUACGCUGAACCAGGAACAUAUUGACCAGAAGCGCAAGAAGCUGGCAUACGAAAUAGUGAGCAUGAAAGGUAACAAAGGGGACAUACCAGAUUUCCUCUUUGACGUGAUCAUCGAUUAA